CAGCUCUGAAGCUGUCAAAGUUCUCACAUGGACCUAAGGCUGAGCAGACAGAUUUGUAACUGAUUCCAAGUCCUUAAAAUUGCCUUUAGAAAUAAUAAAGAAAUAAUUUUGCUUUUUUGACCACAGAUGCCAGGAUUACAAUAUUUAUCUUUGACUACAGAACACAGAACACUGAGCUUCAUUCAUUCACUUACACCAGCAGUUCAACUUAUUUUGUUGGAGAUAAUWUUCAUGUGUGCUUUGGAAAGAAAAAGAAAGGAGCCUGAGAUAUAAAACUUCUAACAUGUCUAAAAAAGGACUGUAAUAUGUUGAAUAUUUCUCAAGAAAUGAUUGGUAACUUUAUAGAAAUAGCUUUGAUGCAAAACUUGUUUCUUGUUUUAUAGGAAGAAG
Long non-coding RNA from Nothoprocta perdicaria, 390 nucleotides. RefSeq lists it as uncharacterized. The transcript is spliced from 2 exons. The record is from RefSeq and is a predicted model, not a curated record. NCBI's taxonomy places the organism in Eukaryota, Metazoa, Chordata, Aves, Tinamiformes, Tinamidae.